CUAUAACUUCAUCUUCAUUUUCAUGUACAAAACUACAGAUCAUGUUGGGUCUAUAGGAGAAGUCAUUUUCCUUCAUUUGUAGCCAUUCUACUCCACCUAUAUUUUCUUCUCCUUCUUUUCUGUCAGAAGAGUUCUUGUCAUGCUGAGCUCUUCUUCAUUGUAUGGCAUUUAUAUUUUAGUAGUGUUUUAUCAUUGCCUUCUGCAUCCACAUGUUCAACAUUUUCUUCAAAUAUAACACAGGUGCCAAGAGUAUCUCAUAUUCC
Long non-coding RNA from Dipodomys ordii (Ord's kangaroo rat), 263 nucleotides. RefSeq lists it as uncharacterized. The record is from RefSeq and is a predicted model, not a curated record. The transcript is spliced from 4 exons. Lineage: Eukaryota; Metazoa; Chordata; Mammalia; Rodentia; Heteromyidae.